AUACGGAGGAUCCGAGCGUUAUCCGGAUUUAUUGGGUUUACAGGGUGCGCAGGCGGCCAUUUAAGUCAGCGGUUAAAUCGUGGGGCUCAACCCCAUUCUGCCGUUGAUACUGGGUGGCUUGAUUGCGGUCGAGGUUGGCGGAAUUCGUUGUGUAGCGGUGAAAUGCAUAGAUAUGACGAAGAACACCGAUUGCGUAGGCAGCUGACCAGAUCGCAAAUGACGCUCAUGCACGAAAGUGCGGGGAUCGAACAGGAUUAGAUACCCUGGUAGUCCGCACAGUAAACGAUGAAUACUUGUUUUCGGCGAUAUAAUGUCGGAGGCAAAGCGAAAGCGAUAAGUAUUCCACCUGGGGAGUACGCCGGCAACGGUGAAACUCAAAUGAAUUGGCGGGG
Molecule: ribosomal RNA, 392 nt
Filed under: uncultured bacterium
Lineage: Bacteria
Description: partial 16S ribosomal RNA
Rfam family: Bacterial small subunit ribosomal RNA
Source: RNAcentral